Molecule: non-coding RNA, 23 nt
Filed under: Arabidopsis thaliana (thale cress)
Lineage: Eukaryota; Viridiplantae; Streptophyta; Magnoliopsida; Brassicales; Brassicaceae
Source: RNAcentral
AGAAGCGCUCUAUCAUCGUCUGU